GUCUACAGCCAUAUCACCCAGAACACGCCCAAUCUUGUCUGAUCUUGGAAGCUAAGCAGGGUUGGGUGUGGUUAGUGGUUGGAUGGGAAGACCACCUAAGAAGACCAGGUGCUGUAGGCA
Ribosomal RNA from Pteropus vampyrus (large flying fox), 120 nucleotides. The record is from Ensembl. NCBI's taxonomy places the organism in Eukaryota, Metazoa, Chordata, Mammalia, Chiroptera, Pteropodidae.